This 2015-nucleotide long non-coding RNA is filed under the name Homo sapiens (human). RNAcentral describes it as "HSALNT0122580". Lineage: Eukaryota; Metazoa; Chordata; Mammalia; Primates; Hominidae. The record is from RNAcentral.
CAAAAUAAUAGUGGCUGGCACAUGUGCACUGUUUGCCAGGCAUUCUUCUAAGCUUAUAUAUAUAUUGGCUUGUUUAAGGAAUUCAGCUUAGCCAGACCAUAAGAAAAUUGGAAUCUGAAGUCUUCAUUUGUAUCUUCCAGGAUUGCAUGGUAUUUUAAAUUUCUGCUUCUCCUUAGUUCCUGAGAACUGGAAAAUUAGGAUGCACAGACUCCUUUUCUUUGUAUCUUUUAGGGGUUGCAUAAUAUCGCUCAUGUGUGUUACACAUUAAUUUUCCUCCUAACCCUUUCCUGUUUGCACAUGGCCAGAGAUGACCUGCCCAGAGGCGGCUUCAUAGGAGAGAUCAGCUCCUGGGAGUGGAAUCUGAGCACUUUAGCUCACUCUAUGGGUUGGUCUGAGUCAGAGGUCUUCCCUGUGUCCAGUAGACUGUGGUGACAUCUGUAUGAGUCAUGAGGUACAAUCUUUACCAGAGACCAUCCUGAAGUGAUUUCAGACUUGGAGAAUGGGCUGUCAGUCGUCCCAAAUCACAUCUAGGAACCUUGAAGAAUGGGGCCUCUGCAAGAGGAGGUGGGCUGGGUCUUCUUGGUGAGUUUUGCAGCCAACGUCUGCCAGGAUGGUGUGUGGUAAUGGUGAGCCAGGCAAGGCCGGGGUGGAGCCUCUGUCCACUGCUAGGAGGCUGCAGAUUCCUGAAGGUUCUUCCAGACGUGCCUCUAGAUCUCCCCAUCAUUCCUGUUGGAGUUGAUUUCUAACUGUUCCCUCUCUUUUCACAUCUCUCUCCUCUACACCUCAGACAGAAUUACCCUUCAUAAAUACACAUUGAUCCUAUGGAUUUACUAUUAAAACUUCAUUCAUUGAUCCCCAUGGCUUGCAGCAGCAGCGUUUACGGGGUGCCAGGUACACUGGUCAGUGUGACCCAGUUGGCGAGCUGGUAGGAGGGGGCUGUAGGUGCCACCGCUAAAGGGCAGGAAGCGCCAUCGCGGCGCCUUAUCCCUGGGCUCCAGCUCUGGGGAGUUGGAGUCACUGAGGGAAACCGAGGGAGGCUGGCCUGAGGAAUUCUCACCGUGGCGCCUCCUCUCCAGCCGCGGCCCACCUUCUGCUUCAAUUCGCCUCCUGUCAGCCUUAAUAUUCUCUCCCGGUCUAGACACCAUUUCCUGAAAGUCCCCCUCAUCCCUCCCUUGUUUAUGUUCUUUUCUGUGACCUAAAAUGCUCUUGCACACCCUCCUUCCCAGCCUGCAGAGACUCGUCUUUAUGAAUCUCAUCUUGUUUCUUGGCGCAGCUUCCCUUUUCCCAUCUGGCACGGGAAGCCGGCUGCUCCUCCUGGUUUCUCUGUAUUGGACACGUAUUGAUCACAGCGCUCAGUGUUGCUUAGUGAGGCCUCUGUUCCUCCCACCUCACCGCGGACUCCUGGAAGCUUCCAGAGGCUGUCUGUAUGGCUGGCUUGUGGUCCCUGCCUCUGUCUUCAAGGUCAGCAAUGGGGAUUCUGAGGAUAAUGCAUGGACGUCUCUGAGGAGGCACUCUUCUGCCCAUCAUGCACUGUGCUGAGGGAAGCCAGAUGACAAGAUAAACAGAUACAUGAAUUGCAUGCAUUUCUGUAUAUAUGUGCAUUUGUAUACAUACAUAACUUCACAUCAAGAAAUGCAUAUUGACAGAAGCAAAGAAAAUGCUGUAAUGGAGAAUAAAAUGGAGAACAAGUCUGUUGGAAGAGGAGACAUCUGUGCUGAGAACUGAAAGAGAAUACAAUCUCUCUUCCAAUUUCUCUUCUCUAAGAAAAUAGCUUUAUGGUUUAUACUCAUAAGAUUGUUUUGAGGAUUGAAUGAUGUGAAUGAUGUAAAUGAUGUAACAAUUUUUACAGAACAUCUAGUAGUAUCACUGAUGAUUCCCCAAUGCUUACAAUAGUUUCUUCACAGCGGUGGCUGCAGAACAGCGGUGGCUGUAGAACAGCGGAUUUUGGUGACCCGCAAAUGCUGCUGCCUGAUCAUUCCUCUGGAAGUUUUGUCUCAGAGGAGUACCCAGCCGUG